AGCGAAUCGAAUGCGGCAGAGGGAAGGCCGGAGUCGGGAAGGGCUCCCCGGAUGUGAGGAGAAAAGUGGACGAAGCAGGACGCUGGGGACACAGGGGGGAGCCACAGGAGGGGACUCGGCCCUGGGCCGUCCAUCCCCGCGGGCUUGUGCAGGGCACGACAGCUCCACGCUGUCCACUGUGCUGCCCGCUCCGGCCCGCCUCUUCCCGAUGCUGGGCAACCAGGGCCGUGCCCCUGGGAGGUGGGAGGCGCCACCAGUGUUCCCGAGGAGGGACGCCCAGGAGCUGGGGACCGGGGCACAUCCAGGACAACGAAGACUUGGUGCAGUGAUGUGGAGACGAAGGUUCUGGUUCCCUGUGGUGCCGCUUGAGUGCUUGGUGCCAGCACAGUGCUGA
This 394-nucleotide long non-coding RNA is filed under the name Fukomys damarensis (Damara mole-rat). RNAcentral describes it as "lncRNA (ENSFDAG00000031303.1)". The record is from RNAcentral. Lineage: Eukaryota; Metazoa; Chordata; Mammalia; Rodentia; Bathyergidae.